AGUGGCGGACGGGUGAGUAACACGUAGAGAACCUACCUUACACAGGGGGACAACGGCUGGAAACGGCUGCUAAUACCGCAUAAGCACCCAGUUUCGCAUGAAACAGAGUGAAAAGAGUAAAUCGGUGUAAGAUGGCUCUGCGUCUGAUUAGCUAGUUGGUGGGGUAACGGCCCACCGAGGCGACGAUGCGUAGGGGUUCUGAGAGGAAGGUCCCCCACACUGGUACUGAGACACGGACCAGACUCCUACGGAAGGCAGCAG
RNAcentral lists this ribosomal RNA (261 nucleotides) under uncultured bacterium. RNAcentral's name for it is "partial 16S ribosomal RNA". It matches the Rfam family "Bacterial small subunit ribosomal RNA", at positions 94 to 354 of the family's 1533-position model. The record is from RNAcentral.